AGCUCCGUGGUGUAAAAAGCUCAUUGAAUUGCAAAUUCAAGGGUGUAGGUUAAUUACCUGCCGGGGCUU
This 69-nucleotide transfer RNA is filed under the name Hyphessobrycon flammeus. Its description in RNAcentral is "tRNA-Cys". It matches the Rfam family "tRNA". From Rfam's summary of the family: Transfer RNA (tRNA) molecules are approximately 80 nucleotides in length. The record is from RNAcentral. Lineage: Eukaryota; Metazoa; Chordata; Actinopteri; Characiformes; Acestrorhamphidae.